RNAcentral lists this long non-coding RNA (3597 nucleotides) under Canis lupus familiaris (dog). RNAcentral describes it as "lncRNA (ENSCAFG00845025811.1)". The record is from RNAcentral. Lineage: Eukaryota; Metazoa; Chordata; Mammalia; Carnivora; Canidae.
UAUGCCUAGACAAUGACGUGUUGGGGUAAAACCUUGAUCUCAACACUUACAGGCCUCAACUUGUUUCCAGACUAUAUCAAGUUAUCCAAGUAAAUGAAUUGGAUUCAAAAGCAACAAGGAUAAAACUUUGUUCUUGUUUCUCUUUUCUCCCCCCUCCCCUCUUUUUCGCCUUUAUUUUUCUUUUCACUUUUUGCCCCUCUACCAUUUAUUAUUGGUGCAAACUCAGGUGAGGGACAGCUUAUAAAAAUAUAAAAAUUGGGGCACCUGGGAGCUCAGUUGGUUAAGCGUCUGACUCUUGAUCUCAGCUCAGCUGUUGAUCUUUGGGUUGUGAGUGCAAGCCCCAUGCUGGGCUCCACACUGGGUGUGGAGCAUACUUUAAAAUUUUUUUUUUAAUUUAUAAGGAUUAAAGAUUAAAAUGUGCCCCUUUUACUGUUGGACUUGCUUAAAUAGUUGGGGUGAUAGAUAUUGAGUGCUAGGUUUAAACACACAUACACACAUCUGGGCUUCCAUGAACUGAACUCAGUUCACGUGCUGGUCUGGAAUGGGCCUGAAGGACCUGGCUCUCUUGCCUUCAGGAUCCUCCCAACGCCAAGAAACACAAUUUGAACAGGGGCUUUCCCUGCCCAGUGUCUGGGACCUCCUUCUCCCUCUCUCUUUUUGUAUUCCAGAUUGCAGCAGAUUUGCACACACCCUGCUUUCCUGGUUCCCCGCCUCCCACUUGUACUGGACCUCCAUCUUUUUAUUUUUUUCUCCCCUUCCUGCCUAGCAAACUCCAACUUAUCAUCAUCUUGCAUAUAUCUUCUAGCUCACCAAUGCCCCCGGGGAGGUUUCUCUGACCGUCCCCUCUCAAGGGUUCAGUGUGAUCAUUGCUCAGUUUGCAAUUAUUUGUUACUACUUAACUAGUUGUCAGGUCCAAUAGGCUCUGAGUUUUGAUUUGGUCACCACAGCAUCCCAGGAUCUGUAACCGGGCUCAGCACAGGGUCAGUAGACAUAUAUGACUGAAUGAAUGAAUUCAUUGAAUAAACUUUUUGAAUGCCAACUGUGUACCAAGUUCACAUGUGUAUAUCAUGAAUAAAAUCACAAAAUCCCUUCGCCCUGGGAGGUGGGACUCUGGGAUGAUAAAACUGAAAGACAUAAUGACUCCAGGCAGGAGGCCCCAGUGUAUGUGGGGCUUGAAGGCACCUGCAUGUAGGGUGGAAGCUGUUAUGCCCAGUGUUUGUUGGGGGAUAAUAUUUGCUCAUCAUUGACUAGGAGACCAGAUCUAGGAUCAAGGUGCUACUACUACAAAUGGCAAUGUUGAGUAUGCUUCAUUAGACGACCCUCAGGUCAAAACAAGGUAUGUGAUACUUUCUGUUGUAAGAAACAGAUUCCUAGUGCUCAGUGGUGAACUGUGGUAACAGUUGUCAACCAUUUACAUGAUAUCAUAUAAUAUCCUGUCACAAAGGUGAUGGGGCUUGGCUCCAUGGCUCUCAGAGACGGUUUCCUUCCAGCUUGUGUCUCAGAUAUUCUCGGGUCUUAGGGGUCCUUGCUGGAGCCUUGACAUCCAGCCAGCAGACAGAACGAGGGUUUUGGGGGCCGGGCCUGGAAGUGUCCACAUUAGUUUGCCCAGAACUCAGUGACAGCAGCACAGACUUGCCAGAGAAACAGGGGACUGACUGUAGAUGAGCUAUGUGGACCGGCAGAAAAGUAGCUGAUUGAUGCGGAGCAAGCAAGCUCAGGAAUCAUAAGGUCCAGUUCCCUUUUGGUACCCUCUCCUCCCCUUCCCUAUUCCUCUCACCCUUCUGUCCCUUUGGGGGGCCCACAGUGGCUUUUCAUCAGCCAGUGCCAAGGGCCAGCACAGAGAGAAUGAGGACAGAGUUGGGAGGACAUAAGUAGGGAAAUUCUUCCUUUUCUCCCCCCGCCCCCCUGCCCUGAAGGACCAUCCAUCCUCUGCCUCUUCCUCCAUUCUCAGUGACUGUCUCCUUGGAAAGUCACUGCUAUCGGGGAGCUGACAUCUCGGCUGCAGAAGACAAACAACAAACAAUUGUUAUGAUACGUCAUUAUACAGCAUGUGAGAAAGGAGUAAACAGGAUGGGGAGGGACGGGAGAGAGCAGGGAAAAGUGGCUCAGGCAUGGCAGUAAAUGCAAUUUUUAUAUUUUCACUAACAAACACGCUUACUCUAACCAUAGAUGCGGGCCCUGGGGUAGCACUUAGUGUGUCCCAGGCACCAUUCCAAAUGUUUACUCUAUGAGCUCAAUGAAUUCCCCAAAAAUAACACGUUAGCCAGAAAGCAUAUAGGGAUGAAGCCCUUGCAAGAAGAACCAGUAAUGGAGGGAGGAGGUGAAAUCGAAGCCCUGUUCUUCUACCUUUGGAGUGCUCUGAGUGCCUAUCCCUCCUUUUCUGGUACUCAGGUCAGUGUCUUCAUUUUAGUGUGAGCUUGUGAGGUUGUGUGUGAGUGUGAGGACACGGAGGGCUGUGGUUCCCUCUAGCACAGGCUUUAAAUCUGGGGCUUUUUCAACAGUGUUUAAGACAACAUGUGGCAAUCAGCAUUGUUGAGAUCACUGUACUUGAAGCCACAAUAAUUCUGCUAUGUACUAUGGGAACAUCAGGAGUCACAUCUGGAGUCUGCAGAGUUAGUUGGUCAGUGGUUUGUGGGGGGAGACUGCCCCUUACUAGCUAAGCAGAAGCCUGCCUUCCCCUUGCCCACCCCACCACUGCCACCAGCUUCUGCUUCUUAAACUCUACUGAAAUGUGACUCCCAUCGCACUUUUAUAAGUGCAUACAAAACAGGCAGCAAAAAAUCUUUGUCUUUGUAAAUGAAAUGAUCACCUUGGUGUUAACUUUGUCAAACAUGGGUUAUAAUUAGGAGUCCUUAGAUUUGCCAGGCAUGCAAACACUUGCCACAGAAACCCCUAUCUCCCGGCCCAAGUAACGUAUCAGUCCACAAGUAUAAAAUGGGAUUCUCUACUGAGCAAACCCUGCAUACAUUUUCUUGCAUGGGAUUUGGCCACCUGUAGAGGAUAAAUCAGGUUUGCCUUUGUUUGCUUGUCAAGAGGAGGAGGAAAAGUGCAUUUUAUAACAUCCAAGAAACAGACUAAGCAGUUAUUUGGGUACAUUUCCAUCAGAUAUGUUUCAUUUAACUUAUUUAACAGCUAUUGGGGAUGACCUCAUCUGUUAGCAGCCCAGAGGGAUGAGCAGCUGAGAGAAGGGUGGCUUCUGGGAACAGUUUCAAUGGCUCCGUGUGGGAAUAACAAGCUUGAACUGUAACCUGUGGUCCUAUAAGGACCUUCCUCAUCCCUCACAGGCAGUUCAAGCUGAGUGCUCACCCUCAAGCACCCCACCUUAGACAAUCUCCACCACCUGGCCUUUGUCACCAUGUCGUCUUUGUGAAAAGCCCUAACCUGACAAAUUUCUAUUCUCCAUGCAAGACUUAGCUCAGGGGCGCCGGCGUGGCUCAGUUCGUUAAGCAUCUGCCUUUUGCUCAGGUCAUGAUCCCAGGGUUCUGGGAUUGAGGCCCCAGGAGGGUUCCCUGCUCAGCAGGGACUCUGCUUGUCCCUCCUUUUGCCCCUCCCUCUGCUUUGUGUGGACUCUUUCUUUUUCCCUCUCUCUCUCUCAAA